AAGGUGUUAUCUGUUCUUAAUUAUAAAGAAGUUCGAUGUGACGAAAAGCAGUAUCUUCUUCUUCCUGGAUGUGGCAUCUGCCAGCAAUUCCCUAAGUACUCUAUCCAUUCCAUGCAUUGGAAUGUUCAUUAAUUUGCCACCAAAAAAAAAAAAAAAAAGUUCAUGAAAGAAAAAUAUGGAUUUAACCUCCUAUCAAGGUGUAGUGUUUGCUGUGAUCGAGUCAUAAUAGUGACUUGUCAUUGAAACCGGCACUAAGUUUGUUUGACAUCAAUUUUGUGACAUUGGUCGUCAUUGGUUAUCUCGCCUUGAUUUCAUUAUUAGGAAAAUCUUGUUGUACGCGCGUCAUCCCGACUCCUUGUCCUUGUGUCUUGUGUAUCCAUAGUGUGUUUUUGGUUUAGGACGUACGUACCUAGUUAGGACGUACGUACGUCCAGUAGGUCAGCAAACUUUCAUCGUGUUGAACGUACGUACUGAGUUAGGGCGUACGUACGUCAGGUAUGCA
This 502-nucleotide long non-coding RNA is filed under the name Aquilegia coerulea. RNAcentral describes it as "long non-coding RNA (ACOE_LNC001015)". The record is from RNAcentral. Lineage: Eukaryota; Viridiplantae; Streptophyta; Magnoliopsida; Ranunculales; Ranunculaceae.